CGGGGGAGCAAGCGUUGUUCGGAUUUACUGGGCGUAAAGGGCGCGUAGGCGGCGCAACAAGUCACUUGUGAAAUCUCCGGGCUUAACCCGGAGCGGCCAAGUGAUACUGUCGUGCUAGAGUGCGAAGGGGGCUACUGGAAUUCUCGGUGUAGCGGUGAAAUGCGUAGAUAUCGAGAGGAACACCUGCGGCGAAGGCGGGUAGCUGGGCCGACACUGACGCUGAUGCGCGAAAGCCAGGGGAGCGAACGGGAUUAGAUACCCCGGUAGUCCUGGCCUUAAACGAUGGAUACUUGGUGUCCGGGGUUACAUAGUCCCCGGGUGCCGGCGCUAACGCAUUAAGUAUCCCGCCUGGGGAGUACGGUCGCAAGACUG
RNAcentral lists this ribosomal RNA (372 nucleotides) under uncultured organism. RNAcentral's name for it is "bacterial SSU rRNA". It matches the Rfam family "Bacterial small subunit ribosomal RNA", at positions 527 to 896 of the family's 1533-position model. The record is from RNAcentral.